UUAUCACACUUAUUUGUUGGUUUCAUCAAGAUUGUCAAGAUGCUUACUGUGUUCAAAACGAAGGAGCCUGGAGAUGUAGAAGAAUUAACGUAGAACAGUCUUUAUUAAUCCAAAGAAGGAAAACAUAAGGCAGGCAGGAACACACAUAGCACAUAGACGUUUAGCACCAGACAGGAAACAAGGGGCAGAGCACAAUUUAAAUACAGAACUAAAUGAGGAACUCAAUAAGACACACCUGAAAUCAAUGAACACAUUCAGUACGAGGGAGAAACAGGGUCACGGGGAGCACAUGGGGAACAAAACACGACAAAACAGGAACACAGGGCUGACAUUACCUCCCCCUCUCGGACAUAACUUCCAAAGGGGGGGGGGUGCUCUUGAGGCCUCUAGGGACAGGCUUGUAUGGGAUGGGAGGCUUCCAGGGUGGUACCAGCCCGGGACCCAUGCCGGAGCAGGCAGUUCAGAAGGUCAUGGCAGAACAAGGAGUUGAGAAGACCAUAGCGGAACAGGCAGUUCAGGGUGCCAUAGCAGAGCGGGCAGCUCAGGGAGCAAUGGCGGAGUAGGCAGUCCCAGAGGCCAUGGUGGAGCGGAUAGUUCAAGGAGCUAUGGCGGGAUGGCCUCUAUGGCCUCUAUGGCCUUGGCUUUUGGAACUCGUGGGAACAACAGCUUUCUCUGGGCUGGACGUGGGGAAAGGAGCCCUCUCUGGGCUAUACUCGGGAUCUGUGGCCCUCCCUGGGCCACACGUAGGAACAACAGCAUUCUCUGGGCUAUAAUUGAGAUCUGAGGCCCUCCCUGGGCCAGACGUGGGAACAAUAGCCCUCCCUGGGCUGGACAUGGGGACAGGAGCCCUCUCUGGGCUAUACUCGGGAUCUGAGACCCUCCCUGGGCCAUACAUGGGAACCGCAGCCCUCUCUGUGAGUUGAGCUCUGUGAUGUGAGUGGGCUCCCUGUUGAACUCUGUGGAGCAUUCUGGAGCGGACUCUGGAGAGAGGAUCAGGCUUGACAAGAGUCUCUUCCUCCUCAUUCUCAUCUUUUGGGCCAAGGUGAACGAGAUUGCUGCUGUCAUAACAGGGCUAGGGAGUGAUUAAUUAAUUCACUUUAUUUAAUAUAAAAUAUAUUAAAGUAAAAUCCAAAAAGUUAAAAUGAUUAAAGACAUCUUAAUUAAACAAUUCCUGGUAUGCCAGAUGGAAACAUUGUGCCAUGUGAAAAUAAGCAAAAAACUGCUCAUGGACAAGCUUAUAUGCACAUUGUAACUUGUAAAUCUGAACAUUUAGUAAUACCUAUUA
Cyprinus carpio carpio is the source of this 1285-nucleotide long non-coding RNA. The record is from Ensembl. NCBI's taxonomy places the organism in Eukaryota, Metazoa, Chordata, Actinopteri, Cypriniformes, Cyprinidae.